RNAcentral lists this ribosomal RNA (301 nucleotides) under uncultured bacterium. RNAcentral describes it as "partial 16S ribosomal RNA". It matches the Rfam family "Bacterial small subunit ribosomal RNA", at positions 509 to 807 of the family's 1533-position model. The record is from RNAcentral.
CAGCCGCCGCGGGAAUACGAAGGGGGCUAGCGUUGUUCCGAAUUACUGGGCGUAAAGGGCGCGUAGGCGGCCAUUCAAGUUAGAUGUGAAAGCCCUGGGCUCAACCUAGGAAUUGCAUUUGAUACUGUUUGGCUUGAGUUCGGGAGAGGUGAGUGGAAUUCCCAGUGUAGAGGUGAAAUUCGUAGAUAUUGGGAAGAACACCAGUGGCGAAGGCGGCUCACUGGACCGACACUGACGCUGAGGCGCGAAAGCGUGGGGAGCAAACAGGAUUAGAUACCCCUGUAGUCCCUGUCUCUUAUAC